Molecule: ribosomal RNA, 253 nt
Filed under: uncultured bacterium
Lineage: Bacteria
Description: partial 16S ribosomal RNA
Rfam family: Bacterial small subunit ribosomal RNA
Source: RNAcentral
UACGUAGGUGGCAAGCGUUGUCCGGAUUUACUGGGCGUAAAGAGCGCGCAGGCGGUCGUAUAAGUCGAAUGUGAAAGCCCCCGGCUCAACUGGGGAGGGUCAUUCGAUACUGUUCGACUCGAAGGCAGGAGAGGGAAGUGGAAUUCCGGGUGUAGUGGUGAAAUGCGUAGAUAUCAGGAGGAACACCUGUGGUGUAGACAGCUUACUGGACCAUUUCUGACGCUGAGACACGAAAGCGUGGGUAGCAAACAGG